RNAcentral lists this ribosomal RNA (798 nucleotides) under uncultured Proteiniphilum sp. RNAcentral's name for it is "bacterial SSU rRNA". It matches the Rfam family "Bacterial small subunit ribosomal RNA", at positions 8 to 795 of the family's 1533-position model. Lineage: Bacteria; Pseudomonadati; Bacteroidota; Bacteroidia; Bacteroidales; Dysgonomonadaceae. The record is from RNAcentral.
AGAGUUUGAUCCUGGCUCAGGAUGAACGCUAGCGAUAGGCCUAACACAUGCAAGUCGAGGGGCAGCACAUGAAGUAGCAAUACGGAUGGUGGCGACCGGCGCACGGGUGAGUAACGCGUAUGCAACCUGCCUACAACAGGGGAAUAACCCGUUGAAAGACGGACUAAUACCCCAUAACACAGGGAUCCCGCAUGGGAAUACUUGUUAAAGAUUUAUCGAUUGUAGAUGGGCAUGCGUUCCAUUAGCUUGUUGGUGAGGUAACGGCUCACCAAGGCAACGAUGGAUAGGGGAACUGAGAGGUUUAUCCCCCACACUGGUACUGAGACACGGACCAGACUCCUACGGGAGGCAGCAGUGAGGAAUAUUGGUCAAUGGACGCAAGUCUGAACCAGCCACGUCGCGUGAAGGAAGACGGCCCUACGGGUUGUAAACUUCUUUUGUAAGGGAAUAAAGUGCAGUACGUGUACUGUUUUGCAUGUACCUUACGAAUAAGGAUCGGCUAACUCCGUGCCAGCAGCCGCGGUAAUACGGAGGAUCCGAGCGUUAUCCGGAUUUAUUGGGUUUAAAGGGUGCGCAGGCGGGAGAUUAAGUCGGCGGUGAAAUUUUGCAGCUCAACUGUAAAAGUGCCUUCGAAACUGGUUUUCUUGAGUGUGGAUGAAGUAGGCGGAAUUUGUGGUGUAGCGGUGAAAUGCAUAGAUAUCACGAGGAACUCCGAUUGCGCAGGCAGCUUACUAAACCAUAACUGACGCUCAGGCACGAAGGCGUGGGGAUCAAACAGGAUUAGAUACCCUGCUAGUC